RNAcentral lists this unclassified non-coding RNA (146 nucleotides) under uncultured Leohumicola. RNAcentral's name for it is "sequence contains ITS2". The record is from RNAcentral. Lineage: Eukaryota; Fungi; Ascomycota; Leotiomycetes.
UAACCCCUCAAGCCUGGCUUGGUGUUGGGGCCUGCUGUUCGCGGCAGCCCUUAAAAUCAGUGGCGGUGCCAUCUGGCUCUAAGCGUAGUAAUACUUCUCGCUACAGGGUCCCGGUGGAUGCUUGCCAUCAACCCCUAACUUUCUAU